Molecule: ribosomal RNA, 317 nt
Filed under: uncultured bacterium
Lineage: Bacteria
Description: bacterial SSU rRNA
Rfam family: Bacterial small subunit ribosomal RNA
Source: RNAcentral
GACGAACGCUGGCGGCGUGCCUAAUACAUGCAAGUCGAGCGAACGGACGAGAAGCUUGCUUCUCUGAUGUUAGCGGCGGACGGGUGAGUAACACGUGGAUAACCUACCUAUAAGACUGGGAUAACUUCGGGAAACCGGAGCUAAUACCGGAUAAUAUUUUGAACCGCAUGGUUCAAAAGUGAAAGACGGUCUUGCUGUCACUUAUAGAUGGAUCCGCGCUGCAUUAGCUAGUUGGUGAGGUAACGGCUCACCAAGGCGACGAUGCGUAGCCGACCUGAGAGGGUGAUCGGCCACAUUGGGACUGAGACACGGCCCAG